Molecule: long non-coding RNA, 660 nt
Filed under: Numida meleagris (helmeted guineafowl)
Lineage: Eukaryota; Metazoa; Chordata; Aves; Galliformes; Numididae
Description: lncRNA (ENSNMEG00000004959.1)
Source: RNAcentral
GAGGGUUUCCAGAAGGAUGUGGGCAAAAGACAGAGUGGUUUGGAUGUGAUCUCCCACCCUUUUCUGAUUUGCUUCCGCAGCAGAGGCGGCUUUAUGUUGCUACUGUGCUAGAGAAGAAGGCCAGGUGGGAGAAAGCAAGAAGAGGCGAAGGAGCAGAAAGCCUGAAGCUGCUGCUGGACUGGGAGGCUGCACUGUUACCUCCAGGGCUGCGUCUGAGCUCUUCUCCUUUAUCUGCUGUAGUGACUGAUGGCAUCCUGGCAGCAGCGCGCUGCUCUGCAGCUUUGUCCAGGCUGGGCUUAGCCCUGUGUGCAGUGGGUGACUUUGUUCCCUUGUGCCUGCAGCACAUCCCUACCUGUUUGUAGGGCUGCUGUGUGCGUGCAGGGGCUCUGGGUGCUGGCGAUGCUGCUGCUCUGUGCUGUUGCUGGUACGUACAUCUGGUUGUAGAGGGAAAGGCUCCCGAAGAGAGGAAUGGGCAAAGCAAAAACAAAGCAUGCUCUUUUUUUUUUUUUUUUUUUCUUUUUUUCCUUGCUGCCAAUUGAAUCUGUUUUUUGGCUCUGGUCCUUAAUGCAGAAGCAGUUGGGAAGUGUCUCUGGAACGGAGCUCGUGUUUAAUUUUUAAAACCAUCUUUAAAGAUAAAUAAAAGCUGGGCAGAAUGAUACA